Long non-coding RNA from Physeter macrocephalus (sperm whale), 2508 nucleotides. RefSeq lists it as uncharacterized. The record is from RefSeq and is a predicted model, not a curated record. The transcript is spliced from 3 exons. Lineage: Eukaryota; Metazoa; Chordata; Mammalia; Artiodactyla; Physeteridae.
CAUACGAUCAGAACAGAGCCAUCUGAGGGCGAGGGAGGUUCUAUUUCUGAUAGCUUGAACCCUAACAUGAUGCAGAGACGCUGAAAGGGACAUUCAAAGAGGGGAAGUGACCUACUCAGCACUUGCAGAAAGACCAGGAUGCAGGUGGCUGGUACCCUGACUCUAGCCCAUCCUCCACCCCGGCUCAGAGAGAACAUUCUAAAGCGCAGAGCUGGCCACCUCGCCGCAUGCUUAAAAAUCCUCUCAUGGAUCUACAUUUCCUGAAGAUAAAAUCCCAAUGUCUAGACCUGACAUCCAAGACCUUUUGUUACCAGAUCCCUGCUCACUCCUUCAACCUUAUCUACAGCUGCUCUGCAAGGCACAACCUGCAUUCUGGUCAAACAGGCGGCAGCCACCCACAGGCACGUCUCCAUUCCUCCCCACCUUUAACCAGGCUCUUCCCUCGACUGAACGGCCCCUUCCUUGAUUAUCUCUCUCAUUCUUCAGCUCAGCUCUGGCCUCCCAGGCCCACCCCCUCCCGUCUGGUCAGCCCAGAUGGGGCGCCUCCUCUGGUCCUCCACACCCUCUGGCGUCACUUAUCACCUGGUGUCAGGAGUCUUUCUUGGCUUUGGGGUUUUUUAAGACGAGAUUCUCAGGAGAUUGGAAAGAUCUCAUGGCUUAGUUAAAAACAUUUGGAGGGAGAGAUGAGCAGAGCAAGGCGCUCCCCACUCCCCUGUUGGCCAGAAAAAUGUCCCCCGGGCUGUACAGAAAAGGACUGGGAAGGGGAGGAAUGAGAAAGUCGCUGUCCCGGCUAAAGAGGCCUGCAUGCUCUGCUCCCAGGGCCAGGUGUGGGGACAAAGACAAAUUUCCCAGAGGGACAACCUGUGGGAUCUCUGAGCAGAAGGGAAGGAGGACCCCCAGGGAGGAAGGAAAGCCCCAAAGAGCAGAAGUGUCCACAUGGCAUGUAGGCGACUGGGAACUUAGACAUCUCAGAGUUUCCCACAAUCCUGUGAGGCAUAAGAAGUAAUACAAUGACUCCUGUGAACCCCAUAAUGUCACGGAGGUAGCAGAGUCACCUGAUCUGAGACAGGGCACAAACAUGGUGACCUGCAUUGACCAAUGGCUGAAAGAUAAAUGCCACCGAAACGGACAUCGAGGACCGGUGGCCUCCCUCCCAUCACCUUUGCACACCAAGCAUAGAUGUGAUUGCUGGGGAAUGGAGAGGAUGGAUUGACUGUGACUCAGUUGUGAUCCAGCCCGGCAAAAUGGAGGCUCAAAAUAGCAACUGAACGUAGUUCGGUAUAAUAAAGAAAUACAUAUUUUCUAUUUCUCCCACACCUGAGUUUGUAGACCGAAAAUCAUACCCAUUGAUAAAAGAAGCUUGGCCAGAAAAACACAUGUAUUCAGAGCUGGGUCCUGACCUGAAAUAGGGGUCCGCCUCUUUCCCCUAUUUUGACUUCUGGGGCAGCCCAGUAUGAGAUGUCAAGAAUCCGUGAGCUAGGGACUUCCCUGGUGGUCCAGCGGGUGGAACUCCACGCUCCUGAUGCGGGGGGCCCGGGUUCGAUCCCUGGUUGGGGGAACUAGAUCCCACACGCAUGCCGCGACUAAGAGUUCGCAUGCCGCAACUCAACAUGCUGCAGCAAAGGUCCUGUGUGCCAAAAUAAAUAAAUGUUAAAAAAAAAAAAAAAAAAAAGAAUCUGUGAGCCAGAUCCGAAGUCUCUCUGCUUGAUGAUUACAGCUACAGCUAAAGGGUCCCAAUGCAGCAAACCACACCAGAGAGAGAAUUGAAUGGUCAGGGUCCAGGCUUCUGCUUGAAGGUAACCUCCUGGGCUACCCAGGGUUGAGUGAUGGCACCCCUUCUUCCUGUGACUCGGGAGAAGGGUGGUCAGGAGAGGCUUCUCUGCAAAAAUGAGGCUGGAGAAGAAAUCUGAAAUUAGGCAGUGAGGAAGGGAAGAGCUACCAAGCACACAGAACUGUAUGUGCAAAGGCCCUGUGGUAGAAAGGAGCUGGGCUUGUUCACGGAAGGAAAUAGACUCCUAUGUCAGGAACCCAGAGAGAGAAGGUGAGUGAUGAAGCAGGACAUUGAUUGGUGCUUCUAAAACGUUCCCCCGUCCCUCCCCUUUAGUUGGGCUGGACCUAGUGACUAGUUUCUAACAAAUAGCAUAAGAUAGCAAUGGGAUGCCACCUCCAAGAUUAGGUUAUAAAAGACCUCUUGCUCCCACUCUGUCUCUGGUUUUCUCACUUGCUUGUUCUGAUGAAACAAGCUGCCAUAUUGUAAGCUGCCUUACGGAGAAGCCCUCGUGGCAAGAAACUGAGGAAGCCUCCGGCCAACAGCCAGCGAGGAGCUAAAUCCUGCCAACAACUGCAUGAGUGAGCUUGGAAGCAGAUCGACCCUGAGUUGAGCCUUGAGAUGACUGCAGCCUCAUCGGAUAACUUGGUUGCAGCCUUGUGAGAAGCCCUGAGCCAGAGGACCCCAGCUUCUCACAGAGGACACCCACAUCCCUGACCCACAGGAUCUGUGACAUAAUA